GGCGAGAUGGCCGAGCGGUCUAAGGCGCUAGACUCAAGAAUCCUGUUCUUGCCUGCAGAAGUGGGUAGCAUUCUAGUAUCGAAAGAUGCGUGGGUUCGAAUCCCACUCUCGUCA
Molecule: non-coding RNA, 114 nt
Organism: Cercophora sp. LCS_1
Lineage: Eukaryota; Fungi; Ascomycota; Sordariomycetes; Sordariales; Lasiosphaeriaceae
Source: the annotation of a GenBank genome assembly